CACGAUGACAAUAUUUACUUCACUGUUGCCUUGGGGAGCUCUAAAUGCAGAGAAUGGCGGCGGUUUUUCUCUAGACCUCCACUCUCGUGAGCAACUUCUUUUUGCCCAUUGAUAGUGUGCCUGGUGCGGGUCGAGUGGGGUGUAAAUCACCUCUAGGAGAAGAGCCAGGGAAACUCAAGACCUUCAAACUCUUACUGUGACCAAGGCUGGGGACGGGACGAGGCUACUCACACUCCGUUCAGUUUGCCCACCACCGUUUAGCUUUGGCAAUCUCCCUCCAUAGAGGAUCCAGAUGUCUGCUUAGGCCUGGUCAUGUGACCCAGUCCUGACUAAUGGGACUUGAGGGGAAGUUGUCCUGAGUCUUUUGGGAAAGAUUUCCCUCCUCAAGAGAAGAAAAAAGAGAUAUGGCAAUUCCUGCAUUUGGAUGUGGUGUGUGGAGAGUAAGAAAAUCCACCUGUGGAAGAUGAUGGAGCAGAAAAAUGUAAAGAACCUGGGUUCAACUGUCAUGGCUGAGUCUCUGCAUUGACCAAUCUGCUUCUGCCCUGCCUUUCAACUUCUUGUUGGCUUGAACCCCAGGGCUGCAGAGGAGACGGGAUGUGUGGCGUGGUCCCAGGCUGAAGGCCUCAGCUAUCAACAAGGCAUUCCCUCAGAGGAGAGCUAAGGCUUUUUCAGCUCUUGAAGAAGAGGGCUACCUUCUGUGUCCCUUGCCUCUCACUUGACACCUAUUGCACGCAGAAGCCCAUCAGUGAAAAGGACCUAAAUAAAGAACCACAAAUCGCCCUACCUUUCGCAGGAACUAGGACGAUCUCUUCUAGUCGAAGAAGGGAAAUCCUCCCCCAGUGUGCUGCCAGCUCGGAAGGCGUGGAACUGCAAACGGCCUGGGCUCAUUACAGUGGAAUUGAGUCUGGGCAUCGUCUGAGAGGGGAAAAAAGGUUUCCUGAGGGAGGCUCGGGCAGCAGUGGUGAAUCAACUGUUGUCGCAGCGGACUUCGGGGAAGUCCAGUAUUAGGAAGGCCCCUGUUUUGUGCAAACUGAUCAAAUACAGAUGUUUCCAAGGAGUUGACCUUACUCACCAAGACU
Molecule: long non-coding RNA, 1079 nt
Organism: Rhinolophus ferrumequinum (greater horseshoe bat)
Lineage: Eukaryota; Metazoa; Chordata; Mammalia; Chiroptera; Rhinolophidae
Exons: 5
Source: RefSeq, a predicted model, not a curated record